GGAUGGGUGGCCGAGUGGCUUAAGGCACCGGUCUUGAAAACCGGCGUGGGUUCACGCCCACCGGGGGUUCGAAUCCCUCCCCAUCCGCCA
Molecule: transfer RNA, 90 nt
Filed under: Hyphomicrobiaceae bacterium
Lineage: Bacteria; Pseudomonadati; Pseudomonadota; Alphaproteobacteria; Hyphomicrobiales; Hyphomicrobiaceae
Description: tRNA-Ser
Rfam family: tRNA
About the family: Transfer RNA (tRNA) molecules are approximately 80 nucleotides in length. Their secondary structure includes four short double-helical elements and three loops (D, anti-codon, and T loops). Further hydrogen bonds mediate the characteristic L-shaped molecular structure. tRNAs have two regions of fundamental functional importance: the anti-codon, which is responsible for specific mRNA codon recognition, and the 3' end, to which the tRNAs corresponding amino acid is attached (by aminoacyl-tRNA synthetases). tRNAs cope with the degeneracy of the genetic code in two manners: having more than one tRNA (with a specific anti-codon) for a particular amino acid; and 'wobble' base-pairing, i.e. permitting non-standard base-pairing at the 3rd anti-codon position.
Source: RNAcentral